Non-coding RNA from Danio rerio (zebrafish), 524 nucleotides. NCBI's taxonomy places the organism in Eukaryota, Metazoa, Chordata, Actinopteri, Cypriniformes, Danionidae. The record is from Ensembl.
UGUAUCGUACUAUGGUAGUUCGGCCGCGAGUUACGUCUUUGUUUGGGAAACGCACCCUAGCGCGAUUUAUGUUUAUACUAAGAGGAAAGCAUACAUAAAUAAGCGUCCCUCUAAGCAGUGUGCACGACAUCUGGAUGUCCGUUUACAAUAUAUAACUGCAAAGGUAUUUCCAACUUCUCUUUAAUUUUAAAAGACUGAAUAUGUACUUCAAAAGUGUUGCGUAUGAAUCAGCCACCAAGUGCAAGUCUAAACCAAAGCAAAUCCCACAGCUCGCGUCAAGCAAGGAGUGAAGCAGCAGGAUUCCACUGAAGAUUAAGAAAUGAUCAUGAAAGGGUUAUCUGCAGUUGAGGGAAUGAUGUGAUGUUGUGGCGGUACACACACACCCACAUAUGGAUCCCCAUACGGAGGUCAGCGGCUGGCCAGCAGGCAGCACACACCGCACAAUAAAACUGUGAACAGGACCGGUGCAUACAGAAAAGAGUUUAGUGCAGGCUCCGUCACACAGCAGACAUUGAUUUGUGGUG